ACCUCCCCUUCAUGUUCCGCUGACGUCGUCAGCGACAUGCCAGGCAGCUUCGGUCUUCCGGCUGCCCGCGGAUCCUUCCGUGUGACCGAGCCCGUUCGCAGCGCAUCCCUCGCGCGAACGACCACCGGCCUGCCGGUGGCGGAUGC
This is a non-coding RNA of Pseudomonas sp. EGD-AK9, 146 nucleotides long. The record is from Rfam. Lineage: Bacteria; Pseudomonadati; Pseudomonadota; Gammaproteobacteria; Pseudomonadales; Pseudomonadaceae.